This 71-nucleotide transfer RNA is filed under the name Clostridium sp. RNAcentral's name for it is "tRNA-Gln". It matches the Rfam family "tRNA". From Rfam's summary of the family: Transfer RNA (tRNA) molecules are approximately 80 nucleotides in length. Their secondary structure includes four short double-helical elements and three loops (D, anti-codon, and T loops). RNAcentral also lists the same sequence under 3 other names. Lineage: Bacteria; Bacillati; Bacillota; Clostridia; Eubacteriales; Clostridiaceae. The record is from RNAcentral.
UGUCCCAUGGUGUAAUGGUAGCACAACAGGUUUUGGUUCUGUUUGUAGAAGUUCGAAUCUUCUUGGGACAA